Callithrix jacchus (white-tufted-ear marmoset) is the source of this 1102-nucleotide non-coding RNA. The record is from RefSeq and is a predicted model, not a curated record. NCBI's taxonomy places the organism in Eukaryota, Metazoa, Chordata, Mammalia, Primates, Cebidae.
GUUCCUGGAAUGGGGAAAACAGUGGGAAGGGGGGACAUGUGGAGGAACCCACAACAGCUGGAUGAGCUGGGAGGACUGAAAGAAUCUGGGGUGGAGAAAGGGUUGGGUGGAUAUGGGGGAAAUGAGAAAGAACAAUUUGUGGCUCUUCCUUUUAGAAUGACUGAAAGGAAAAGAGAAGUGUGAAAGGUGUCUGCUCACAGCCUUCCCCCACUUUCUCCUGCUUCUCAAGGCUCAGGCUUCCUGCUCCUCUCCCCAGGGACCUGAGCGCUAAGGCAGGGGGAUGGACAGACCAAAGCUGUCACUCAUCCUCUCUUGGCAUGGAUUGGAAGAUCAUCCCCUCCUGAAAUGGAAGAGGUGGGUCUACUGGUGUAGAAGAAGUGAGCAAAAGCCACAUAGGGAUGAGCAUCUCUAGCAGAGAGCCUGGCUAGUGGACACACACAAAGGACUCAGCAGAGAACAAGUGAAAACAGAUGCUAUUUUUAUCAUUUCAUCACAUCACUUUCUAAAACAGGUUUGUCCUCAGUUUUACAGAUGAAGAAACAAAGGCUUGGAGAAGUAUGUAACUUAUCCAACGUUACACAACUGGUGAGUGGCAGAGCCCACCCAUCCUGUCUGCCCCAAAGCCCACGCUCUGGGGGAAGGCCAUGGGGUAAAGGCCCCUCCCACCUUUGUUUCUUUUCCCAUGAAGCUGUACCAUUUUCCUUAGUUCCUGUGUACCUACAUCUGUGGCCCUGCAAGAGGACUGCUCAAUGCUGCCCAAUAUGCCACAAACCAUACAGAUGCAAAAGCAGAGACUGAUGCCACCAUGGAAGUCAGUGUUUCGAGAUUCAGCUGGUCCUUGGCUAUUGCCAGGAACCCUUUGGGCUGCCCUAAUAAGCUCUAUGCUUUGUUCUCAUGAAUUUUCCAGCUGUUUGCUCUCUCUUUUUAUAGCAGUUUCUUAGCCAACAACUUAUUAGAUUGAUUCAACAUAAUACACUUUGUACAGUUUAUGACUGUUAUCUCUGUAACCUUAAGCACACUGUUUAACCUCUCUCAAUUUUUUCUUAAAAGAUAUUUAUUUGCCUAGUAUUAUUGCUGAAAUAAAUCAUAAGACACAAUUUCA